This 675-nucleotide long non-coding RNA is filed under the name Marmota monax (woodchuck). The record is from RNAcentral. Lineage: Eukaryota; Metazoa; Chordata; Mammalia; Rodentia; Sciuridae.
CCCACCCACCCAGGCCGCCCUCCACCAGUGGCCCCGCUGUGUCGGGAGCUGUAUCUAAAUGACGUCCUGCGAGGUCAAGACGGAAGGCCUCUGCCUAAGGGCAGGAGGCGGUGCCCACCUCUGCCGCUCUCUUCAGCAUGGCGCUGCAGGGUCCAACCAGGGCGACCAGAAAGGAGAAACACGAUGCCCCUGUUGGGAAGGAGGAAGCAGAGUUUGCCAGUUGCAAUGACAGACAGCCUUCUGUGUUGAAGACCCCGAGGCCCCUACAGCGCUGUUAGGAGAGCCACAGAGGGCCACACGCGUGAGCAAGGCAUGGCGCUUCUGUGCCUGAUGAAGCGGAUGGCAGGAAGCCGGCUGCACAGUACUGUCCCACGUGCCACAGGGGGGAAGGCACGGGCAGGAGGUCUGCAGGACUUGCUGAGAGGGGUCAAGACCAGGGAGAAGGGUGUCCGGGACUGGACACAGCACUGUGAGUCCGCUUCCUGGGCCUGGUCUUGGGCCACGUGCCGCCCUGUUGGAAUCCUGGGCUUUGUCUGCCGGAAGUCUCAGGGCUUUGGGAAUCCCAUGAAUCCCCAAGACCAUCCUGCAGGAGCAGAGACGGAGAACUUCAUGCUUCACUCCUCACUUCAAACCUGCCACAAGCCACUGUCGCCAACGUCCUGACGCCAGCAGGAC